UACGUAGGGGGCGAGCGUUAUCCGGAUUUACUGGGCGUAAAGGGCGCGUAGGCGGCGGGGUAAGUCUGGUGUGAAAUCUCGGAGCUCAACUCCGAAAUUGCACUGGAUACUGCUCUGCUUGAGGGUUGGAGAGGAGAUCGGAAUUCACGGUGUAGCAGUGAAAUGCGUAGAUAUCGUGAGGAAGACCAGUGGCGAAGGCGGAUCUCUGGACAAAUCCUGACGCUGAGGCGCGAAGGCUAGGGGAGCAAACGGG
This 253-nucleotide ribosomal RNA is filed under the name uncultured bacterium. RNAcentral describes it as "partial 16S ribosomal RNA". It matches the Rfam family "Bacterial small subunit ribosomal RNA", at positions 524 to 776 of the family's 1533-position model. The record is from RNAcentral.